CCCCAAAGCAUCACUUUGUAUUGCACAUUAUGCUGCAUUCCUUUUCUCACCCUCAUACCAGAGUCUGAGGGGAGGGGGGCGGGGAAGCGCUACUGAUAAUACCAGCUUUAACUACUGGAGUUUCCCUUUGAACAAAUAUUCAAUUUAACCGGAGUUAAUUUACCAUAAAAGACAUUCCCCUUGGCACGAAUGCACUCCUGUCCUUGAACACACCUCUUUGAAUGCCUGAACUCGUACAGAAGCCAUUAUUUCGAGGUCUCUUUAAAAAUCAAGCGCCCAUCUCUCUCUUUCUCUCCCUCCCUCUCUACUUCCCUCCCUCCUCACCACACCACCCCCAGUGAAAUCCUGGCACCCAGAGAGCGCUUCGUUCAGCCAGAGAUCCUAGAACGAGCCGCUGUCCCCUAGCAAAAGAGGCCCAGUGCUGAACCCUGAGCAAGUGUCUGCAGACAACGGCUACCCCUCCUCCCUUAAUUAGUUUCCCUUACCAACAGAAACGGUUUCCUUUUGCCACCCAAACUAGGUCGCAUCCUAAAGUUUCUCACAAGCUUAAAAAAGAAAAAUGAAAAAUUGACAACUCUUACACAGAAGAGCCCACAAAAGCUGCAGCAGCGCCAGGGGUGAAGAAGCAGCGACAGACCCAGUUCUUGGCCCAAAGAAGAAAAGGCGGCAAAGUCAAGUCUAAAAGCAGGCAGCCCCUCAGCCUGUCUGGGUAUCCAGUUUUGCUUCCUCUCACUUGCAGAAGACUGUUUCUCGAGCCUAUGGCUAUAGCAGACCAGUACAUGCAGCAAGAGCACAGGGCAAGGUUGUGACCAUCUAGGGCUCAUUCUAGGUCCCACAACUCCCAAACAGGAAGCCGUAAGUGUGGGCAACUUAGCACAACUACAGAGUGACACUAAAGGCCAUCAAGACUUAGUCACUAAGGAGAAAAGAGGCACUUCAGCAGCCUUGGCUUCAUUCUUUGGAUCCCUAAGGGAGGAGACCUAAGUGACUACCCCCUCUGUCUCUCUUCUUGGCUUUAAAAAAAUAAACUGUCAUCCACUCAUAUGAAGGAAUGUUAUACAGCAAGGAAAAGCACAAACUUCUCUACAACAGGCAUGUAGAAAAGUGCACAUCAUAAGUUUAUAGCUAGGUGAAUAACCCACGUCACGAGUGUCCAUAUUAAGAAAUGGAAAAUUACUGGCAAUCCAGAAAGCACAUCCCAUUCUCCAUUCUCUGCCAAUUACUACUCCCACCAUCCUUCUCAAAGAUAACCACUAUCCUGAUUUCUAACAAUACAAAAUUGUAUUGUCUGUUUUUGAACUUUAUAUAAAGGGAAGCAUAUGAUAUUCACUCUUUUACUUCUGAACGGUUUUGUUCAACAUUUCAUGUAAGAGUUCUUCCUGCUGUUGGAAAAAACAAAGUUGUUUUGUUUCUCCACAUUGCAGUAUGGAAUUCUAUUGUAUGCAUACAACACGGUUUAUCUAUUGUAUACUUGACAACCACUGGGUCGUUUCCAGUUUGGAGCCAGUACAAAUAAAGGGAAUAGAAGCAUUCUUCUACAUGUCUUCCAGUGUAUGUAUGUAUGCAUUCUCUUGGGCAUAAACCUAGGAGAAUUUCUGGGUUACGAAGUAGCCUAUGAACAAUUUUAGUAGAUAAUGCUAAAUAAAUUUCCAAAGUGAUUGUACUAAUUUACACUCCCACCAGCAGUGUAGGAGAGAUUUAGUUGUUUUACAUUUUCCCCAACACUUUGUAUAAUCGGUCUUUUUAAUUUCUGGAUUAUAGUAAUAUCUCACUGUGGUUUUAAUUUGUAUUUUCUAGUUGACUAAUGAGGUUAAGCUGCUUUUCAUCUGUUUAUUGGCCUUUUUUUUUUUUUUUGGCUGCUUAGUAUGAAGGAUCUUAGUUCCCUGACCAGGGAUCGAAGCCAUGCCCCCUGCAGUGAAAGCACGUAGUCUUAACCACUGGACCGCUGGGGAAGUCCAUUAUUGGCCACUUGGAUAUUCUCUUUUGUGAAAUGUCUGUUCGAAUAGUUUACCCAUUUCUGUUGGGCUCUCCUGUUGGGUUUUUUUUU
Molecule: non-coding RNA, 2047 nt
Organism: Kogia breviceps (pygmy sperm whale)
Lineage: Eukaryota; Metazoa; Chordata; Mammalia; Artiodactyla; Physeteridae
Source: RefSeq, a predicted model, not a curated record